GUCUAUGGCCAUACCACCCUGAACACGCCCGAUCUUGUCUGAUUUUAGAAGCUAAGCAGGGUUGGGACUGGUUAGUACUUGGAUGGGAAACCUCUUUGAGUAUCAGGGUUUUUAUUUUUU
This 120-nucleotide ribosomal RNA is filed under the name Erinaceus europaeus (western European hedgehog). Lineage: Eukaryota; Metazoa; Chordata; Mammalia; Eulipotyphla; Erinaceidae. The record is from RNAcentral.